RNAcentral lists this ribosomal RNA (460 nucleotides) under uncultured bacterium. Its description in RNAcentral is "bacterial SSU rRNA". It matches the Rfam family "Bacterial small subunit ribosomal RNA", at positions 349 to 793 of the family's 1533-position model. The record is from RNAcentral.
CAGCAGUGGGGAAUAUUGCACAAGUGGGCGCAAGCCUGAUGCAGCCAUGCCGUCGUGUAUGAAGAGGUCCUUCGGGUUGUAAAGUACUUUCAGCAGUGAGGAAGGUGGGUAUGUUAAUAGCAUACUUAAUUUCGACGUUUAGCUGCAGAAGAAGCACCGGCUAACUCCGUGCCAGCAGCCGCGGUAAUACGGAGGGUGCGAGCGUUAAUCGGAAUUACUGGGCGUAAAGCGCAUGCAGGUGGUUUGUUAAGUCAGAUGUGAAAGCCCCGGGGCUCAACCUCGGAAUUGCAUUUUGAAACUGGCAAACUAGAGUACUGUAGAGGGGGUAGAAUUUCAGGUGUAGCGGUGAAAUGCGUAGAGAUCUGAAGGAAUACCGGUGGCGAAGGCGGCCCCCCUGGACAGAUACUGACACUCAGAUGCGAAAGCGUGGGGAGCAAACAGGAUUAGAUCCCCCUGGUAG